This 1068-nucleotide long non-coding RNA is filed under the name Linum usitatissimum (flax). RNAcentral's name for it is "long non-coding RNA (LUSI_LNC003590)". Lineage: Eukaryota; Viridiplantae; Streptophyta; Magnoliopsida; Malpighiales; Linaceae. The record is from RNAcentral.
AAAAGUUUAGAAACGAUACGAUAUAUAAUCGAAAUACCUUGGAUAUAUCACAAAAGACGUACACUAUACUAACCGUGAUUAGAGAAAGUACGUUUUUUGGCCUUAAAGUUGGAGAGUUGAGAAAACCUUCAACCAUACCCUCCAUUGAAGUUUGAUGGGUUCUUAACCGAACCAGCUGAUCAACCUGUCGUUAUAGCUGUUAUAAAUAGCCCGCCUCUGUUUCCACAGCUCCCCAAUCCUUUGAUUUUCUUUUAUAGCUUGGAGGCUGAAGAGCAACAACUGAAUCUUGAACAAUGAAAGUCUUCAUCAAAUAUCAUUUAUGCACGGCUACUCUCUAUAUGCUCUUUUUGUUGAGUGGCAGAUUCUGUAGCAAUUGAAUAGCAACCUUCAUUUUUCCUGCCCAUCCACAAACAAAUACAAAAUUUUACAACCAAAAUCCCCAUAUUACAAAGGGUAAAAAAAAGGCAUAACUCCAAUCUUGAACAAAUAUUCAGCGAUAAAUUUUUGGCUUAGCCAUUGAGAAAUCUUGUCUUAAGAAUAUAUCAAGCCAACAGAUUUAAAGCUCCGAUCAAAACCCAAAAAUGGAAAAAGAGCCAAAUUUCAUGAGCUUCAAAAGAAGCAAAUGUGGAAAGCAAUCGAAGUAUACAGUUUGAAGAACAAUACUUGCACAAAAGGGGAUCAGACCAACACAGGUAGAUCUUUGAAACAAACUAAAUAUAAGUGGACUUGUUUGAUCAUUAUGAACAACCACAUCAACGUCAAUAUCAUAAGUAAUUUCAGCCAAAACAACAACCUUAAAGUAGAGAAGGAAAAUGAAACAUGUGAUAUCGAAAAUCAUACAACAUAUGAUAGACGUAAGAAGGAUGGAAUUGUGUCCCUACCUUUGAUAUGAGAUUCUUAAACCUGGGCAAUAUUACCAACGUUCUAAUUCAGGGGUGGUUCCACCCCAGCCAUUGAUUUCCCUAUAUAAUCAGCGAGACUAAACCCCUACCGAUUUACACGAUAGGAUAUAGAGCCUGGAACGCCAUAUACCUGAAGUUGGUAUUUCUUGCGACAAUCAAGUUGUUC